AAUAUUUUGAAAAACAUUUUUACAGAAAUUAGGUUUUACAUAAAGUUUUAAAGGUAUUUCGUUGUAAUUUUAAAUGUACCUCCAUUUUAGGGGAUAUUAAACUUGGAAAGUGUUCAUCCUUAGUGAAGCAAAAAAUUAGAAAUCCACUUUUAUAAGAGAAAAUUUAAAAAUGAAAAUACUCAGUUUAAAUAAAAAACACCAGGCCGAGAAUGGAACUCAUUUAAAAUUUCUGCAACAAAGCCUUAAAAAGCCAUUCAGAAAAACACCCCCUCCCUUCCCCCUGACCCCCCCCCUCCCUUCCCCCUGAAACAUCUCUUGAAAUCUUGAUCCAAAAAUGAGAUGUCUUAUUACUCGUAUUCAUUUAGUACCCACCGUACUUCUGAAAUUUUUUUAACCUUUGAACGUUUUAUCUUUGUUAAAUGGUAUAUUUAUAAUGUUGUUUAUAUAUCGAUGUAUAAAAGGCGACACUUUGAUAGCCACUUUAUAUCGCCUAUUGAUUGUUAAAUGUAAUCAUCUUUUUUGUUUAAAUUGUUUCAACUAAGUUGCGGUGAAAAUGAUUACUUAUCAAUACUAUUUAACCCUUCAAAAUCAAUGGUGUAAUCAUCUUUCUAUUUUUAUCAGGUUUUUGUUUAAUUUGCUUCUCUAAACAAUCUAAUACAAUAACUCUAGUCAAAAUUUGUUGAAUUAUUAGCUAUUUAUGUAGCAAGCUUUGUCUGAAAAUAUACUCUUGGUGCGCGCGUUCAAUUCUUUGAUAAAAAUACUCAUACAAGAACAAGAAAACUAAAUUGUUAAACUCUUCAGUUAAACCAUUCGUUUGUUAUUGUUUUUAUUAUUAUAUAAUUAAAUAAUGAUUUUGCAUUAAAAUUUAAAAGUGUAAGCAUUAUUUUAUAAUAGUUAUGUAUUGGCUAACUGCGAUCGUAUGAACAUUUUGUGAUUGUAAUAGUUAAAUUUUGUACGAGCUGUUUGCCAGAUUUUAACCAGAUUCAGAAUUAAGGGUAUAUGUUUGGAUCUAAAUGAUUUUGGGGUUCUAAGAUUUUCCUUUAAAAAUUCUUGCCUUUUAAUUGGCUGGUCUGUAAAACGUCUAUUUCCACAAUUUUAUGAAUAUCAUUAACGUAUGCGAAUUUGGAACUUAUUCUGAAUUAUGAACGAUUAAAGUCAAAAAAUCAUAUUUUUUUCAUUAAAUUUACUUCAAUUUUGUUUGCGUUUAUUUAAUUAAAUUUAUUUUGAACGUCAGAAUGAAAUCGUAAAAUAAUUUUAUCGAUUGUUCUCUCUCUAUCAUAUUAUUAUAAUUCAACCCCUGAACAUGCUUCCCUAAAUAAAACAAUAAAAUUAAAAGGAGAAACAAAAAAUAUUUUCCAGCUAUUUAUCAUCUAGCAGACUAGAAUUUUAAUCUAUUCGAUGUCAGAUUCACAACGGUACCCUUGGAAACCUUUAUCUGACCAGUUAUUUGGACUGAACUGUCUGAUCUCUUUCUUUCUUUAAACAUUUUUAUUUUGACAAUUCCUUAUCUUUUAUGUUUUUCUGGAGUAGAAAUGCGCCAGCCUCUUCUGUCGAGGUUUCAAAUUGUCGGACAAAGCUUUUAUGGGUACCAUUGUGAAUCAGGUAAGUCCAUCUUUGCUCAGAGGGUCACUUAAAAGUUUGACAAUGUUUUCGUCUGAAAAUUAUUUUCUUAAAUUUUUCCUAGAUCGUUCUAUUUUACGAUUGGUGAUCUUUUCAACAAAAAAAAUAGUCAAUCCUUAGAAUAAUUUCUAAAUAUCCAAUAAUAUUCUUAAUUCUGGACCUUGUCCAGGGUAGGAUCUGAAGGAUGGCAAACUGUUGAAUAUUUAUUUAUCUAUUCGUCAUGUUUAUCAAUCGCAAAUAUAUCAUGUAAUCAA
This 1874-nucleotide long non-coding RNA is filed under the name Eurytemora carolleeae. RNAcentral's name for it is "uncharacterized LOC111707611". Lineage: Eukaryota; Metazoa; Arthropoda; Copepoda; Calanoida; Temoridae. The record is from RNAcentral.